GGUGGUGGUGGGGGUAGUACACUCGCCCGGCGCUGAGUAAUUUGCAUUCAGCGGCGCUCGUGCCCGACGCCGCCGCCGUCGACGCCAACGCCUCGCGACACCUCCGCUCCCCAUCAUCGUCGAGUAUUGAUCGCGUACGCACGAUUCACCCUUUUCGGUAGUGGCGGAGAGGGGUGCGGGGGCGUAGGGGUGUGUCGCGUUAUAACUUGCGCGCGUGUCGUGCUUUUUGUUUUUAUUUCUCUAUAAACGAUUUAUCGUUGCGCGAGAGAGUAAGCGAGCGGUGGUCGUCGUCGUCGCGCCGUCGUUGUGUGAAAGAGAAACGGAAUAAUAAUAAUAAUAAUAAUAAUACUAGAAAACGAGAAUAAAAAAAAAAAAUUUGCAGACCCUUCGCGUGUACGCGACCCUUUUUAUUUUGCGUGCGUAAUGCCAGGCGAAGGGAGAGAGUUCGUUGACACGUCGCGGUCGUGUGUAAAAAGGGGACGAUGGCGAUGACUAACGCGAUGAAAUCACGGACAGACAGCGCAGAGCUGUCAUGCGAACAACAUCCGCGUGCACACGACCUGUGUACUAUACAUCAUUAUACCGUUAGCGCCGCCUGGCCGCGUGGGCACUGUGCAGAGGGCCACCAAUCUCCGUCGUCACACGGCGGUUUUGGAAACCGUCCGUCUUCGGUGUAGUGAUGCUCUACAUCUACCCUGUAGAUCCGAAUUUGUUUGAAAAACGGCGACAAAUUCGGUUCUAGAGAGGUUUGUGUGGUGCAUAUUCCUUACGACCAGAAUUUUUAUCGUCUAUUCGUGGUGGCCCCGACGGCAGAUUAGUUGUUAUAUUAUAUACCUAUAUAUAUUAUAUUAUAUUAUACAUUUGUAUCUAUUAUUAUUAUACACAUUAAACAUAUUUAUUUAUAAACAUUGAUCAUCAACAUAACCAGAUUAUGUUGUGUACUUUUUUUAGUUAUAAUAUUUUUUAUGACUGAAAUAUACAAACAAUUAUUAUUAUAGCUAUAUAAACAAACAUCAACGUUUCAAUUCACACAUUUUAAAACAUUUGUAAUACCAAAUAUUGCUCGACGGUUACAAUAGAAAACCAUCUUAACGAUACAUUUGUAAACACUACGUACCUAAGAAAAUAAUGUUUUGAAUUAUAUUACUACAUAAUUAUAUGUAUGAAUAUUUGUUAUAUUAAACAAUGUAAUUAAUCAUAAGGUUUUGUAAAGUGAAAUUUGAAUUUAUAUUAAUUACCCAAUUUUAGUAGGUAUUUUUACAUUAAUAAAAUUAGAUUUAAUACCAUAUGUUACUUUUAUUUUU
This is a long non-coding RNA of Metopolophium dirhodum (rose-grain aphid), 1304 nucleotides long. RefSeq lists it as uncharacterized. The transcript has 2 exons. Lineage: Eukaryota; Metazoa; Arthropoda; Insecta; Hemiptera; Aphididae. The record is from RefSeq and is a predicted model, not a curated record.